This 405-nucleotide small RNA is filed under the name Histoplasma ohiense. RNAcentral describes it as "hypothetical lncRNA". The record is from RNAcentral. Lineage: Eukaryota; Fungi; Ascomycota; Eurotiomycetes; Onygenales; Ajellomycetaceae.
CCCUGCGAGCAGGCGCUUGAAAUUAAUAUCGCCCACCGGGAUGAAACGAGAAAUUUUGGGUCGGAUGGAGGCCGAUGGCUAGACUCUUGCUGAUAUUUGAAUCAUAGCUUCGCCCACAGGCUUCCGAACUUAGUUAAUAUGGGUGUGAUCUCCACGUCUGAAACCUAACGGGAUUGGCUAACAAGGGUAUGAUAGACAGCUCCUAGCUCCAGGAACCUGUAAACUACGAAGAAGUCUCACCUGGCUCAUACCGUGUUAUAUGACGGGGGAAGGGGAAGGGACAUGGCUGUUAUCUUCUAUUUAUAUUAAAGGCCAAAACGACAGCGUGGUUGUGGCAGGGAAUGGUGCCGUCCGACCAACCUAUUGAAGGAUCGGAUAAUGCCUCCUGGCAAAUUCAAAGCAUUC